This 878-nucleotide ribosomal RNA is filed under the name Streptomyces sp. Its description in RNAcentral is "bacterial SSU rRNA". It matches the Rfam family "Bacterial small subunit ribosomal RNA", at positions 38 to 924 of the family's 1533-position model. The record is from RNAcentral. Lineage: Bacteria; Bacillati; Actinomycetota; Actinomycetes; Kitasatosporales; Streptomycetaceae.
GGCCGUGCGGGUGCUUACCAUGCAGUCGAACGAUGAAGCCCUUCGGGGUGGAUUAGUGGCGAACGGGUGAGUAACACGUGGGCAAUCUGCCCUUCACUCUGGGACAAGCCCUGGAAACGGGGUCUAAUACCGGAUAAUACUUUCUCCCGCAUGGGAGAGGGUUGAAAGCUCCGGCGGUGAAGGAUGAGCCCGCGGCCUAUCAGCUUGUUGGUGGGGUGAUGGCCUACCAAGGCGACGACGGGUAGCCGGCCUGAGAGGGCGACCGGCCACACUGGGACUGAGACACGGCCCAGACUCCUACGGGAGGCAGCAGUGGGGAAUAUUGCACAAUGGGCGAAAGCCUGAUGCAGCGACGCCGCGUGAGGGAUGACGGCCUUCGGGUUGUAAACCUCUUUCAGCAGGGAAGAAGCGAAAGUGACGGUACCUGCAGAAGAAGCGCCGGCUAACUACGUGCCAGCAGCCGCGGUAAUACGUAGGGCGCAAGCGUUGUCCGGAAUUAUUGGGCGUAAAGAGCUCGUAGGCGGCUUGUCACGUCGGAUGUGAAAGCCCGGGGCUUAACCCCGGGUCUGCAUUCGAUACGGGCAGGCUAGAGUGUGGUAGGGGAGAUCGGAAUUCCUGGUGUAGCGGUGAAAUGCGCAGAUAUCAGGAGGAACACCGGUGGCGAAGGCGGAUCUCUGGGCCAUUACUGACGCUGAGGAGCGAAAGCGUGGGGAGCGAACAGGAUUAGAUACCCUGGUUAGUCCACGCCGUAAACGUUGGGAACUAGGUGUUGGGCGACAUUCCACGUCGUCGGUGCCGCAGCUAACGGCAUUUAAGUUCCCCGACUGGGAGUACGGGCGGCAGGCUAAAAACUCAAAAGGAAUUGAACGGGGGGUCGC